UGAGGGAAGUAUUGCACAAAUGGAGGAAACUCUGAUGCAGCAACGCCGCGUGGAGGAUGACGCAUUUCGGUGUGUAAACUCCUUUUAUGAGUCAAGAAAAUGACGGUAGCUCAUGAAUAAGCACCGGCUAACUCCGUGCCAGCAGCCGCGGUAAUACGGAGGGUGCAAGCGUUAUUCGGAAUCACUGGGCGUAAAGGACGCGUAGGCGGGAAGCCAAGUCUGAUGUGAAAUCCUAUGGCUUAACCAUAGAACUGCAUUGGAAACUGGUUACCUAGAGUAUGGGAGGGGGAGAUGGAAUUAGUGGUGUAGGGGUAAAAUCCGUAGAUAUCACUAGGAAUACCGAAAGCGAAGGCGAUCUCCUGGAACAAUACUGACGCUAAGGCGUGAAAGCGUGGGGAGCAAACG
This 405-nucleotide ribosomal RNA is filed under the name uncultured bacterium. RNAcentral describes it as "bacterial SSU rRNA". It matches the Rfam family "Bacterial small subunit ribosomal RNA", at positions 353 to 774 of the family's 1533-position model. The record is from RNAcentral.